AACGAACGCUGGCGGCAGGCUUCAUACAUGCAAGUCGAGCGGGCGUCUCUUUUCGGAGAGGCGUUAGCGGCGAACGGGUGAGUAACAGGUGGAUAAUCUGCCUCCUGGCGGGGGAUAACGGCUGGAAACGGCCGCUAAUACCGCAUGUGAUUGCCGGGUCCAUGCCCGGCAAAGAAAGGCGCUUCACGGCGUCACCAGGAGAUGAGUCCGCCCCCCAUUAGCUAGUUGGCGGGAUAACAGCCCACCAAGGCUUCGAUGGGUAGCCGAGCUGAGAGGUUGAUCGGCCACACUGGAACUGAGACACGGUCCAGACACCUACGGGAGGCAG
Molecule: ribosomal RNA, 328 nt
Filed under: uncultured Candidatus Sumerlaeota bacterium
Lineage: Bacteria; Candidatus Sumerlaeota
Description: bacterial SSU rRNA
Rfam family: Bacterial small subunit ribosomal RNA
Source: RNAcentral